RNAcentral lists this long non-coding RNA (1122 nucleotides) under Cyanistes caeruleus (blue tit). RNAcentral describes it as "lncRNA (ENSCCEG00000018386.1)". The record is from RNAcentral. Lineage: Eukaryota; Metazoa; Chordata; Aves; Passeriformes; Paridae.
CUGGGGUUUGCCAAGAAGCCAAGGGGUGCCCCAGGAUGGGCUGAGGCAGCCUCAGCCCCUCUGUGCCUGCAGGCAUGGAUUUCUGGGGAAAAUGGCUCAAAAUGCAAACUCCAGCAGUGUCCAGUGAAGAAAGGCCACAGAAAUGUUUAUAAUUCACAUUUGUAAAUCAGGUCAAGAACACUGGCCUAAUCCCCUUUCUGAUGGGAUUCCCUUCCAGCAGCACCAGCUGGAAUGCAGUGAGUCCUGGUGGCCCUGGAGAGCUCAGGACAAGGCAGGAGGGAGCAGCUCAGGGCUCCAGGUAAGACCUGCCCCUGUUGAAGCUGACCAUGACACCACAACUGGAAUAUCACCCUAAGCAAGGCAGUAAGCAAGGGACAAGCCACUGUCACCACGUGUUUGAAGAGCACAGAUGGCCAGGGUUUAACUGGCUCUGGCCUCUCAGCAGUGCUCCAUGUCCCUAAAGCGUGUGGGGACAAAAGGACGCAGCACUCUGAGAACAUCUCUGCCAUCCCUGCCUGUAUCUUGCCCUCCUGCAGUUCUCAGACACUGAACAUGGAUUUUCUCCUGAGAACAUUUUUCUUGGGAGGGUCAGUUCUACAGAAAUUCCCUCUCCUCCCUUUUGAAGGAUGGACAAAGGCACAUUUCUGUGCUACCACCCAAAAGUGUCUGUGCAGCUACUGCUUAUCUCACGUUCCAGCCAAUGAUCCCAGGGGAGGACACGGCCCUAAAUUAGCUCAUUUACAGUAGGAACUUUAAACUACAGCCAAAAAUAUUUGGUUUUAUUAGUACUCCCUAUAUAGUACGCCUCUGACCAAUAACUUGUUUUAUUUAUUUUUCUGGCGAAUUACCAUGUUCUUAUUCAAAGCCAUAAUGAGGAUUAUAUAUCGAUGUGGAAUGCAGAGCAGCCAUUCCUGAAACUCCCAACUGCAUAUAAAAGAGUCUGGAAUUCCCCAAACACUAUCUCUUCAGCCCAGGCCACUUACAAAUGUGGUUUAACAUGAAUGAAGUAAUAUCUUCAGAAAGGAAGGAGACUUUUGAGUCACGUCUGACACAUUUAACUGCACCAACCACUUUCCCCAGCUCAAGAUUUUGACUGUGUGUCUUAAUACCAGGCAGGGGUGU